AGGUAGAGUAGUAAGUUAUCACUUGACAGUAAUUUGGUUGUCCUCCUCAAAUUCUGCCAAACUGGCUGUCUCUGCUUUCCGCGAAUCGGCACCUUCUCCUUUUUUUUAAGCUGAAUCCCCAUCUUCGACUUCCGCACCUCGCCUGAAUCGCUCAUUCGCUCCCCACCCCAACGCUCCGUCCCCGCGGCCCACCAACCGCCGCCGCCGCCGCCACAGCCAUGCACGGCCGCCGGCACCUCGCGGCGUCCCUUACCCGGGCCCUGAUCCAGGCGCCAUCCCGCUCCAUCUCCUCCACCCCGUCUCUCCUCCAAACCCUCGACCCCUCAGUGCCGUCGCCUCCCGCCGCGGGAGCAGGGCGGCUCGCGGAGCUGCGGCGGCGGCUGCAGGCGGACGCGCCGUCGCUGGGUGACUUCACGUACUCGGUGGAGGUGGGGACGCGGCAGCGCCCGCUGCCCAAGCCCAAGUGGAUGAAGGAGACCGUGCCUGGCGGCGCCAAGUACGCGGCCAUCAAGGCCAAGCUGCGGGAGCUGAAGCUGCACACCGUCUGCGAGGAGGCCCGGUGCCCCAACCUCGGCGAGUGCUGGUCCGGCGGCGAGACUGGCACCGCCACCGCCACAAUUAUGAUCCUUGGGGACACCUGCACGCGCGGAUGCAGGUUCUGUAACGUCAAGACAUCUCGAACACCCCCUCCACCGGAUCCUGAUGAGCCUUCCAAUGUUGCUCAAGCUAUUGCCUCAUGGGGCCUUGAAUAUAUAGUAAUCACGAGUGUUGACCGGGAUGAUCUACCUGAUCAGGGCAGUGGUCACUUUGCUGAAACAGUACAGAAGCUAAAGGCUUUGAAGCCAGAAAUGCUUAUUGAAGCGCUUGUACCUGAUUUCCGUGGAGAUCCAAGCUGCGUAGAGAAGGUUGCGACUUCUGGAUUGCAUGUUUUUGCGCACAACAUUGAAACUGUGGAAGAGCUUCAAAGGAAUGUCAGAGACUACCGUGCAAAUUUCAAGCAAUCUAUAGAUGUUCUGGAAAUGGCGAAAGAGUAUGCUCCUCCCGGUACCCUUACAAAGACAUCGAUAAUGCUGGGAUGCGGGGAGACUCCAGAUCAGGUUAUUAGGACCAUGGAAAAAGUGAGGGCUGCUGAUGUUGAUGUCAUAACAUUUGGCCAGUACAUGAGGCCAUCAAAACGUCACAUGCCUGUUUCUGAGUAUGUUACGCCUGAAGCUUUUGAGAAGUAUCGGGCCCUUGGUGUCGAAAUGGGGUUCCGCUACGUUGCGUCUGGGCCAAUGGUCCGGUCUUCGUACAAGGCAGGUGAAUUCUACAUCAAGGCUAUGAUCGAAGCGGAGCGAGCCAAGGGAACCGCUGCAGACUCAAGUGCAUAACCGAGAUAGCACCUCCCGGCCCCACCCACCCCUUGACUUGGUUGUGCUGCAAAUAAGCUCCUCACUGCUUUUGUAGUCAGAGAGACAUGUCGAUUUUUUACGUCAUAAUUGUAACCACACAUUCACUUCUAUUUUUUUUGGUCAAUUGAACAGUUCCGGCGCCUUCGUGCCUUGGUUCAUCCUCCCUCUCAAGUCCAAGAAAAAAAAAGAGAUCCAAUCUGCCGCAGAUCUGAAUCAGAUAUCCAGAUCACACACACACACAAGAGGCAGACGGAGCUUGCAGGUAGUGCGGAAAUCCUGGAGCACUCCGCGCGUGGCUGGGACGGAGUCAAUUUGACCAUCUUUUGCGCGGUCAACCGACUCGACAUGGCAAAAGCAGGAACGCUGCUGCCCUGCCACUGGCUCGUACGUGAACGAUCUGGGAUUAUGGCUGGAUGAUCGUCCGUCAGAUGGCCGUGGCCCCCAGUGGAGGAGGCAGCUGGGCAGUGUUGCUUGCAAUAAUGCUAGGAACAUGUAGUGAUGAAAUGUGGUGUUGCUGUUGCUCUCCUA
Zea mays is the source of this 1919-nucleotide RNA transcript. It is a transcript of the gene named Lipoyl synthase, mitochondrial, with no coding region annotated. The record is from RefSeq and is marked provisional. The transcript is spliced from 5 exons. NCBI's taxonomy places the organism in Eukaryota, Viridiplantae, Streptophyta, Magnoliopsida, Poales, Poaceae.